This 110-nucleotide ribosomal RNA is filed under the name Pteropus alecto (black flying fox). Lineage: Eukaryota; Metazoa; Chordata; Mammalia; Chiroptera; Pteropodidae. The record is from RNAcentral.
ACCCACCUCUAACCUCCAUUAAAUAUUUAUUUAAAAUAUAAGAUAAGCAAAGUUAGGCCUGGUUAGUACUUGGAUGGGAGACCACCUAGGAAGACCAGGUGCUGUAGGCG